AACGAACGCUGGCGGCAUGCCUAACACAUGCAAGUCGAACGAUGGUCUUCGGAUCAUAGUGGCGCACGGGUGCGUAACGCGUGGGAAUCUGCCCUUGGGUUCGGAAUAACAGUUGGAAACGACUGCUAAUACCGGAUGAUGUCGAUAAGACCAAAGAUUUAUCGCCCGAGGAUGAGCCCGCGUCGGAUUAGCUAGUUGGUGGGGUAAAGGCCUACCAAGGCGACGAUCCGUAGCUGGUCUGAGAGGAUGAUCAGCCACACUGGGACUGAGACACGGCCCAGACUCCGAGGGGAGACAGCGGAAGGGAGCACUGGGCGCUGGGGGCAGGCGUGACAAAGCCGUGCCGCGUGAGUGGUGAAGGCGGUAGGAUUCUGAAGCUGUUUUACACGAGGAGUGAAUGACGGUACCGGGUAAAGAAGCACCGGCUAACUCCGUG
This 436-nucleotide ribosomal RNA is filed under the name uncultured bacterium. RNAcentral's name for it is "partial 16S ribosomal RNA". It matches the Rfam family "Bacterial small subunit ribosomal RNA", at positions 29 to 507 of the family's 1533-position model. The record is from RNAcentral.